UACGGAGGGUGCAAGCGUUAAUCGGAAUUACUGGGCGUAAAGGGCGCGUAGGUGGUAAUUUAAGUUGGCUGUGAAAUACCUGGGCUUAACCUGGGGGCGUCAGCCAAUACUGGAUAACUAGAGUCCGAGAGAGGGUAGUGGAAUUUCAGGUGUAGCGGUGAAAUGCGUAGAUAUUACACAGAACACCGAUUGCGAAGGCAGCUUACUAAACUGUUACUGACGCUGAUGCACGAAAGCGUGGGGAGCGAACAGG
RNAcentral lists this ribosomal RNA (253 nucleotides) under uncultured bacterium. Its description in RNAcentral is "partial 16S ribosomal RNA". It matches the Rfam family "Bacterial small subunit ribosomal RNA", at positions 524 to 776 of the family's 1533-position model. The record is from RNAcentral.